AUUCCAGCUCCAAUAGCAUAUAUUAAAGUUGUUGCAGUUAAAAAGCUCGUAGUUGGAUUUCUGGCAUGAUGCGCCUGGCCCGCCUCAAUUAUGAGUGUGUGUGUCAGCGCGCGUCUGCCAUCCAUUUGCAGAAUGUAUCUACCCUUCAUUGGGCCGGAUACGUGAUGUAAAUCUUUUACUUUGAAAAAAUUAGAGUGUUUAAAGCAGGCAUUUGCUAUGAAUACAUUAGCAUGGAAUAAUAAUCUAGGACUUCGGUUCUAUUUUGUUGGUUUCUAGAUCUGAAGUAAUGAUUGAUAGGGAUAGUUGGGGGUGCUAGUAUUAAGGGGCCAGAGGUGAAAUUCUUGGAUUCUCUUAAGACUAACUUAUGCGAAAGCAUUCACCAAGGAUGUCUUCAUCA
This 397-nucleotide ribosomal RNA is filed under the name Mataza sp. Its description in RNAcentral is "partial small subunit ribosomal RNA". It matches the Rfam family "Eukaryotic small subunit ribosomal RNA", at positions 582 to 975 of the family's 1831-position model. Lineage: Eukaryota; Cercozoa; Thecofilosea. The record is from RNAcentral.